GACGAACGCUGGCGGCGUGCUUAACACAUGCAAGUCGAACGGAAAGGCCCUGCUUUUGUGGGGUGCUCGAGUGGCGAACGUGUGAGUAACACGUGAGUAACCUUCCCUUUACUUUGGGAUAACUUCAGGAAACUGGGGCUAAUACCUGAUAGGAGCUCCUGCUGCAUGGUGGGGGUUGGAAAGUUUCGGCGGUUGGGGAUGGACUCGCGGGUUAUCAGCUUGUUGGUGGGGUAGUGGCUUACCAAGGCUUUGAAGGGUAGCCGGCCUGAGAGGGUGACCGGCCACAUUGGGACUGAGAGACGGACCAGACUCGUACGGGAGGCAGCAGUGGGGAAUAUUGCACAAUGGGCGGAAGCCUGAUGCAGAAACGCCGGGUGCGGGAUGACGGCCUUCGGGUUGUAAACCGCUGUAGGCUGUGACGAAGCGUGAGUGACGGUAAUGGGUAAAGAAGCACCGGCUAACUACGUG
This 468-nucleotide ribosomal RNA is filed under the name uncultured bacterium. RNAcentral's name for it is "partial 16S ribosomal RNA". It matches the Rfam family "Bacterial small subunit ribosomal RNA", at positions 28 to 507 of the family's 1533-position model. The record is from RNAcentral.